Non-coding RNA from Struthio camelus australis, 356 nucleotides. Lineage: Eukaryota; Metazoa; Chordata; Aves; Struthioniformes; Struthionidae. The record is from RefSeq and is a predicted model, not a curated record.
AUUUUCUCUUCCUCUUCUUUACAGGAGGGGGGCAAAGAACUGCUCGAAUAGCUUCAUCGAACACUGUCUUGAGGCCUCGCUGUGCUAUGCUUAUUUCUGCAUUCUGGAAAACCCUGAUCUGCACUUCGCCCACCCGUGGAGACCACCCGUAGAGAUGUGAGAAUGCAGCCAUCUGCAGGAAGUCUCCACAGGGGCCUAUGAAUCAGCUGCCAUGGACAUGAAAGAGUGCAACAGUAGCAGCAUAGGUACUUGAAUAUUGGCCGACUCCAAAAAUAGAUGGUAUCAGCAUGAUUUUUGUAUGUAAUUUGAAGAAAAGUAUUAAAAAAAUGCAUUAAAAGGAAAUUUCCUGAUUGUGA